UAUGGAAGCUUGCUUCCACUGAGAAGAUAGUGGCGGACGGGUGAGUAACACGUGGGUAACCUGCCCAUAAGAGGGGGAUAACAUCCGGAAACGGGUGCUAAUACCGCAUAGUUUUCUUGAUCGCAUGAUUGAGAAAGGAAAGACGGCCUUUGUGCUGUCGCUUAUGGAUGGACCCGCGGCGUAUUAGUUAGUUGGUGAGGUAACGGCUCACCAAGACGAUGAUACGUAGCCGACCUGAGAGGGUGAUCGGCCACAUUGGGACUGAGACACGGCCCAAACUCCUACGGGAGGCAGCAGUAGGGAAUUUUCCGCAAUGGACGAAAGUCUGACGGAGCAACGCCGCGUGAGUGAAGAAGGUUUUCGGAUCGUAAAACUCUGUUGUCAGAGAAGAACAAGUCGGAGAGUAACUGCUCCGGCCUUGACGGUAUCUGACCAGAAAGCCACGGCUAACUACGUGCCAGCAGCCGCGGUAAUACGUAGGUGGCAAGCGUUGUCCGGAUUUAUUGGGCGUAAAGCGAGCGCAGGCGGUUCCUUAAGUCUGAUGUGAAAGCCCACGGCUCAACCGUGGAAGGUCAUUGGAAACUGGGGAACUUGAGUACAGAAGAGGAGAGUGGAAUUCCAUGUGUAGC
Molecule: ribosomal RNA, 629 nt
Filed under: uncultured Carnobacteriaceae bacterium
Lineage: Bacteria; Bacillati; Bacillota; Bacilli; Lactobacillales; Carnobacteriaceae
Description: bacterial SSU rRNA
Rfam family: Bacterial small subunit ribosomal RNA
Source: RNAcentral